UUUUGUGUUUGAUAAAUCUCUGAACUGCCCAAGUUCUGCAUUUGGGUCCUUCCCCUGUGUUUUGCUUGCACCCGUCGUAACUGCGUCUUGACAGGUUAAUGUUUGAUGUGCUGGACUGGGAGAACAUGGCCCAGUUGGUACUAACUCACAUCAGUAACCAAUUAAAGAUUUUAUGAGGUAGACUGCACAUUUUGAUUAUUAUAAUUUUGUUGUAACCUCACGUAAAAUGACGGGAACAAUUUACUUAUGUUUUCUGUCGGGGGGGGGGGGACUCAAAAUUCCCAUGAAAUGCAUUCUCACACAAAAGAUUAACCUUAACCACUUGAUUGGAACAUUUUGUGGUGUUGUUUUUUUAAAGACACUUCUCUGAAUCAUACCUCCAGACUGAAAUGUCUCGUCGACUGUUGGAAUGAUUACCAAGUUUUGUUCUGACUUUCAGUAUAGUGUUACAGCUGUACAAAGUAAAUGUGGGAUCACAAACAAGAUUUAGACUCUUAAAGGGCUAGUGGGAUCUGAUUUCUGACAUGGUCAAAUACAUUUAUAUGGAGUUAAAAUUGGUUUAUUCAGCGGACAAAAAAAAGACUUACGAGCGAUGUAUGUGAUUUCACACGCGCAGAUAUUAACCAUCGCAAACAGAUUUAAAUCCCUUGAGGCUCAAGAGGAUCUGCUCUCGCUCGCGGGAGAUGCAGCUUCGCUGCUCGAGGGUUAUUUCUGCGCUCGCGGUGCACAUUAUACACUUGCGCGACAGGGAGCUUCCACUCGCUCGUUGAGUGCUUUCUACUCUCGCGGGGAAAGAUUUUGACACUUUGGGGCCGGAGCCACUGGACUUUGAUUGACAGCUCUUAGGGAGCCUGGAGUUGCCAGGUUGGAGUUUCACGUAGGUAGGCUACUGUUGGCAAGACAACAGACAGUGGCUGCAUCGGCAGGACGAGUCAACGAAUGGGAACAAGAACGCACAGUGCUGGAUACGCGUUGCGUUCAGUGUUGAUACCUGUUGAAUCAAAAGCUGAUCAGCGCUGAGGAGCAGCAGCAGUAAAAACGUUGUCAACCGGGACAAUGAUUGCGCAGCCGACCCAGACUCCCCAUUAUCAACCAAGAAAGAUCAACCGCCAACUGAGAUCCUUUAGAAAAUAGUACCUCAAGUACCUGCACUUUUUUGGAAACAUCACAGACUAACAGCUUAGGGAUAUGCGGAGAUGACAGGGCCAUCAUAUGCUGUUCCCAAGAAACAGCCCAUGUACUAGUCAGAAUCCGGGAACUUCACAAGGUUCAGGAUCCACUGGGGCUGAUGAAUCAUUGACGUGAUGAUCACAUGGUGUGAUUCACAAAGAAGACUCUUAGGUAGGAAGGUGAUGCUGUUCACUCUACUACUGCCCACAUGCUGCUGUCAAAAAUCGAUUUUGUAAUUGAAAAAGACAAGAAGAAUCUUGUCUAAACCCAGCGUGGCCCAAGACCAGGCCUGAGUGUGGGUAACAAGCUUUAGGAGCUAUGAUACUCCAGAAGCUUCUGACAGAACCCUUACUUGUUUUUUGUCAAGCCAAUGUGUCCCAAGAAUGCAGGUUAGAUCUCUCAGAUGUCCUCCAUUCCAAGGGAGAGAUUUGAGCUAGCAGGGGUUGUGCUAGAGAUGAGAGACGAUGUCCUACAGCAGAUGUUUACAGAAAAGUGCAAGGUAGAAACUUUACCUGUUAAAUGUUGGUGUAAUAGACAACUUACAAUUUCCUGUUAUCCUAGGUCAGUGGUUCCUGAACUCUCAGACACAUUAGAGUACACGAUAGCGCAUUGAUUUCCAAUUGUCAUGAAGUAUAGCCGUUGCUAAUCUGGUUGACUCAGCUUGUACCGCCAGUGGCCAAACAGAUAAGUAAUCAGCGUGCAAAUCACCCACUGUGGUAGGAUUUUUGGUCAAAUAAGAGUGGCGUGGUGCAGUUGAAUCAUGCUGGGCCCUUAACCCAGAGGACAAUGGAUUGGAACCAUCACAGGCAGAGGCGCCGCUUGCCAGCAGGCAAGGCAGGCGACUGCUUGGGGCCCCCAGGUCAGUAGGGGGCCCCCGAGGGCUGACAAACUUCAUUCGCAUGCGCAUUGUCACUGCUGUAGUAGUUUUGCAGCAUAAGCUGCAACGAUUUGCAGAUAAAUCCACACAUAAUUGCCAUUGUUUUCCAUCCAUGCAUCGUUUUUCUGUUAGUACCAAGAUAUCCACUGAAAGUAAAAUAAAGAUCCCUUUUACCACAGGCGCAGUUUGCGUUGGUUCAGGGGGCUCACUGAACCCUUUAGUGGCCAUAGCCCAAAAUAUAUUUGGGGAUAUUAUCAAAAAACUGCCCCAUGUAAAGUGUUCCAUUUUAGAUUUUUUUCUUAGAAGGGCUUGCCGGCUGAAGGCUCUGCCUCCCAUUAUACUCUUCCAAACUCUGAGAACCACAAGUAGUCCUGGGUUUACAGAGCCAAGUGAUCUAUUGGCAAAAUAUGGAACUAUGAGCUCUGUAAUAUAACAUGGAGCUUGAUUAUUAAGGGCUUUGUAGGUGAGGAGCAGGAUUGUGAAUUCUAUUCUGAAGUUUCCGGGAAGCCAAUGCAGAGAUGCUAACACUGGAGAAAUAUGAUCUCUUUUCAUAGUUCCUGUCAGAACUCAAGUACAAUGUCCUCGGUGUUGUCUGAAUUGAGAAGUACAUCAAAUGGUUUGAGUAUAUUAGGGUAUUAUUGUAUGUAUAAUUUAGUUUUGUAAUGUUUUUUUAUUAUAUUUCCAGUAACUACAAAAAGGCGAAACACUAACUGAACUUUGGACAAAUCUCCCAACUAACAGCUAACUACAGCUAAAAUAAGAGGCCUAUAUCAAGUGAAAGCCAGCUUGUGAGAUGGAAGUGGCCGGCCUAAACUAAAAUUAAUGGUAAAUUCUUAUAAAUUUUAACAAACUGAAAAUUUGUUAUUCAGUUUGUCACUCUCUCCAUUGAUUGAUUUGUUGGCCAAACCACGGAAGCAUGACGAGCUGUAAACACCUUGUUUCUAGUUUAGUAGGUAUAUGUUUAAUCACUCUCUGGCAAACAUCCUGGGACUUAACUUAAAAAUUUUGAUCUAACUUCAACACAUGAUACAUCUACAUGUUACAAUAUUUCCCUCUGAAAUGUAGUGGAGUGGAAGUAUAAAGUACCAGAAAAUACCAUGUUACCAUGUACUAUGUUACAGGCAAAGUCUGUUGAAGAACCUCAGAAACUUCCGCUGUUCCUACUAUUUUAGUUUUCUGUGAACUUGGACUUUUUCAAGUUUAUUGAAAUAAAAAUGGCCAUACUUUGUUGUUUACUCCACCAUUUGAUAUUAUACAGUUACACGGUAACUGACUGUGAAACACCAAGAAAAACAACAAACAAGUCCAUCACCUCCAGGAUAGUCCUAAAGGUACACAAUGGUAAAAUCAUCCAAAAGUACUUAAUCUUCCAGUUACAGUUGCUUGUGAUUCCCAGGCAGCCCAAUUAAAGGUAAUCAGUUAAUUAAAUCCCUGCAGCCGUCGGCAGGCAAAGGACACGUGAUAAAUCUGCAGCAUCUGAGUUAAACCACUCUCACAUUGUCUGAACAAAUAUACUGAACAACUAAGGGUUAAUUUGCAGGGUUGAUUGCUUAUGUAGCCUCAUAACUAUCCCAAAUAUAUGUGUUUGUGCGUGUGUGAUAGGAAAUGUCUGUCAUUCUUUUCCGCCUCCAACUCUAUCAAGUUGUUUACAAAAUGUAAUGAAAUCAACAGAGAGAGGAAUCUGAUGCGUGACAUCUCAUCAGAAACGGGUGUACCGCAUCCCUGUCUCCAAAAACAUACAGACUCCAGAUAUUUGCAUCAGGCCCGUCAUCAUAUCGCUCGCUUUCAAAGUUCCCUUUGUACUAGUUUCUAUACAUACUCUAUUCUUCUGAAAGCUGCACUUGUGUGUCCCUGAACAACACUGUUUGGCUAGCUUACAAUGCUCGUCAUGUCAUGACCUUCCCCUCUUUAUUGACUCUAAGGUGAUGCUUUGAACCCUUUGGACUGUGAGCACUCUUUAUUAUUUGCCUUUUUUAUUUGAAUGUUGCCUGUAAAAAGUCGCCAUAGCAAUUCCCCAGAAACACACCUGACAAGUUUGAAGAAGAUUGGAAGAAGAUUUUUGAGAUAGGUGAAAUACACCCAAACAUACACACAGUUACAUUGCAUUAUAGUAUGAUUACAUAUUUCCUGUGCUCCUCAUUUGGGUCACGAAAUCAAAACAAAACAGUACAAACUGAACAGACAACUGACUCAGCAGACCUUUGCAACCUGCCAUUUUUCCUGCACGGAUGUGCCAAACAAAACAUUUAUUGGUGAUGAAACUGCCUUAAUCCGAAUUUUAAAGUUGCUUUGGGAGCGGGAUCCUGAAAAUGCCAGGCACAGCCUUAUUUCUGGUUGAAAUAAUGCUCCAAACCUGCUCCAUGUUCCUAUUUUUCUAAGCUUGUCCCCUCACCUAUCUGUCAAGUCAAGCUUGCGAGCCUACAGCUAGCCUCCCAGUCGACUAGCCUUUAGCCUGCUAGCCUCAGGUUCCUAAGCUGCCCAGCCCCACAGAGUCACAGUCAAAAUCAACACCAAGCCGGACCCAGAGCCAGACCUUGAGUUGGUCGUCCUCGCUACCAUCCUGUCUGCUCUAUCGUUUGCUGUCCCGGCCCUGCCCUCGCCCAUGCCCCUUGCCUUUUCCUUGGGAUCCCUAGCUCCAUUCUUUGGCUGUAACUUUGCAACUGUGGGCCUUAUAGAUAAAUGUUACAUCAACAUUACAACCUUCAACUGGUUUCAAUGUUGUGGCAGAUAGGUGUAUACGUUUACACAUUAGACCAGUUUUUGUAUAUCCCUUUACUCAUUAGACCAGUUUUUGUAUAUCCCUUUCACUAACCUUAUCUGCUAUAUAACGCCAUUAACAGUCCUUGAGAGCCUUGAUGCUGCCAGCUUCCCAUCCAUCAGAAGGUGGAAGGUGAUAGCUUGAAACUUGAGACAGAUAACAAUGUGCAGCACCAGUGUUCAACCCACAAGCAGUUAGUUUUAAUGUCUGCCAGAUAUGUCACUGAGAUGAGGAUGGGUGGCAAUAUCAAUUGGCUAACGUGUCUUGGAAAACAUUUACAAAUUACUGCAGCCAAUUAGCCAAAUUAAGCCCGCUUUGAAAGCCAAUCUGUUUUUGUAAUGCCAUCCUUCCCCAAGCCGUUGAUUUCAUGUAGUGUCAACAUUACUUUGUGGUGUGGUUAAAAGCAAAGACAGCAGUUGUAUUUCUUUUAUUCUCUAGUUUGAGGCCAGCCAUGAAAUGAUAGAUGAGAACCUCUCCAUAUAACCAAAACAUCUUCAUGUUGUCUUUGUUAAUGUGACUUGGGAAGCCAUUUUUUUACUAGAUGUGUCAGGGCCUGAAGAAAGUGAUUGGAUGAACCGGCUUUCUCCUGCCUGCGUGCACUCCGCUCGUUCACCACAGUCAGGCGCGUGACCAGUCUCUUGCACGACGUCGGCAAACAUGCUCCGGAGCUCCGCCGCCGGAACUACGGAGCUACAGUUAGCAGGCGAGUUGCUGCACUGAACUAAAUAAGAAAAGAGUUGCAGAAUGGCAGAGAAAAUGCCUACGACAGCUUCCGGUCGCAACAGACAGAGCAGCAGAGAUGACUACGGACACAAAGAGGUUGGAGACUACAGGAGGAGUGAACAGAGUAAACAUCGUGUGGUUCUUCACCACUGGCGUCAACUCCGGGAGGAGAAGAGGGUGAAAGCAGGUACAGCAAGUUGUACAUGAAGAAGUCCAGGACCUGGAGGUUGUCUGCCGCGGACCAGAGCAACGACCAGACGAUCCCUGUCAACAGCUAGAGAAGCAGGUCAGCAGAGAAACAGGACCACUGCCUAAGAGUCGACGACAGCACUGCAUGACCCGUCAGACCUGCUUUGACACUAGAGCUAGGAAAACCUGUGCAGACAGUUUCUUCAAUGUUGUACAUAUGUUGUUUAUGCUAAUAUUAUAAUAUAUAUUUGGUAUAUUGUAUGUU
Scophthalmus maximus (turbot) is the source of this 5982-nucleotide long non-coding RNA. RefSeq lists it as uncharacterized. The record is from RefSeq and is a predicted model, not a curated record. NCBI's taxonomy places the organism in Eukaryota, Metazoa, Chordata, Actinopteri, Pleuronectiformes, Scophthalmidae. The transcript is spliced from 6 exons.